This 650-nucleotide unclassified non-coding RNA is filed under the name Allium peninsulare. Its description in RNAcentral is "sequence contains ITS1, 5.8S rRNA gene and ITS2". The stretch from base 248 to 403 matches the Rfam family "5.8S ribosomal RNA". Lineage: Eukaryota; Viridiplantae; Streptophyta; Magnoliopsida; Asparagales; Amaryllidaceae. The record is from RNAcentral.
UCGAGUCCCCCUAUUAAAUACUGAGAACGUGUGGCUUUGCCCGUCGAGAGCAUGGCGGUCUUGCAAUCGSRCUUCUGCUUUCUCGACGGGUUCCCUUUGCCGCCUCUGGCUCGCCUUGUUCGGGGCGAGAAGGAGAGCGGGAAUAAGACCCCGGCGCGGUUCGCGCCAAGGACGGUUUUUGUCGGAGCGUGCCGCCUGCUUCUUGCUGUGCGGUGCGUCCUCCCACUAGUAGUGUGACAGUAUGCAUGACUCUUGGCAACGGAUAUCUAGGCUCUCGCGUCGAUGAAGAACGUAGCGAAAUGCGAUACUUGGUGUGAAUUGCAGAAUCCCGUGAACCAUCGAGUCUUUGAACGCAAGUUGCGCCCGAGACCGUCAGGUCAAGGGCACGUCUGCUUGGGCGUCACGCCUCGCGUCACUCGGAGCACCAUCCCGGCUUGAACCCUGGUUUUGGCGCGUCUUGAUGUGGACAUUGACCCUCCGUGCUGUUUUACGCGCGGUGGGUCUAAGCGGUGUGCGUUGCUGGGUUUCCGCGCGACGAAGUGGUGGAUAGAUUGUACGCAUGAAGCCUCCAGUUGUGCGCGCGACUCCUGGCCGUGAACCACAAGAAGUGGAACCCGUAACGACGUCUGCAGCUUUUGCAAGGUCGUACC